UACAGAGGGUGCAAGCGUUAAUCGGAAUUAUUGGGCGUAAAGGGCGCGUAGGCGGCUUGGCAAGUGGAAGGUGAAAUCCCUCGGCUUAACCGAGGAACUGCCCUCCAAACUGCUUCGCUUGAGACCGGGAGAGGUGAGUGGAAUUCCCAGUGUAGCGGUGAAAUGCGUAGAUAUUGGGAGGAACACCAGUGGCGAAGGCGGCUCACUGGACCGGUACUGACGCUGAUGCGCGAAAGCGUGGGGAGCAAACGGG
RNAcentral lists this ribosomal RNA (253 nucleotides) under uncultured bacterium. Its description in RNAcentral is "partial 16S ribosomal RNA". It matches the Rfam family "Bacterial small subunit ribosomal RNA", at positions 524 to 776 of the family's 1533-position model. The record is from RNAcentral.